Molecule: ribosomal RNA, 318 nt
Filed under: Triticum aestivum (bread wheat)
Lineage: Eukaryota; Viridiplantae; Streptophyta; Magnoliopsida; Poales; Poaceae
Description: partial small subunit ribosomal RNA
Source: RNAcentral
AUGCUAGUAUUUCUUCAUGUACUGGACAUGUGUUACAAAGAUGCUAGUAUUUCUGCAAGUAACCGGCAUGUGCUCUUGGGAGUGACAGUAGAAAAUUUCCUCGCUAUCGCCGCGGGUGCCAAAAUGAAGCUCUCUUUUCCAUUAGCAUAUUCCACAAGGAUUUCUAUCAGACGUAAACCCAUUAGCGAUGGCCGGUAUCAGAUUGCGCAUUGCUGCUCCACUCGUGCUAGUGGUUGUAAAGCAAUGUGCCAGGGAUCCGUCGCCAUAUGUCAGGAAAUGCGGGCAUACGCUCUGCUACUUGACACCGUAUGCAUCUGA